CCUACGGGAGGCAGCAGUGGGGAAUAUUGGACAAUGGGCGAAAGCCUGAUCCAGCCAUGCCGCGUGUGUGAAGAAGGUCUUCGGAUUGUAAAGCACUUUAAGUUGGGAGGAAGGGCAUUAACCUAAUACGUUAGUGUUUUGACGUUACCGACAGAAUAAGCACGGCAUCC
Molecule: ribosomal RNA, 170 nt
Filed under: uncultured Pseudomonas sp.
Lineage: Bacteria; Pseudomonadati; Pseudomonadota; Gammaproteobacteria; Pseudomonadales; Pseudomonadaceae
Description: partial 16S ribosomal RNA
Rfam family: Bacterial small subunit ribosomal RNA
Source: RNAcentral